AAAAACUUGUAAAAUUUAAAGCUAUGUGUCGACCUGUAGCACAUAAGAGUCGACACAUACUGUACAAAUUUGUAAAAAAAUAAAAAAAUUUAAGGCAUUAGGUCGAAUUCUAAGGUAAUGAGUCGAUACAUACUGUGUGAACUUGGAAACAAACAUGCAAAAACUUCAUUUUUCAUUCAAGAAUAAAUAAAUAACAUGAUCAAACACCAAGCGCUUCAAA
This 220-nucleotide long non-coding RNA is filed under the name Lathyrus oleraceus (garden pea). RNAcentral's name for it is "Pisum sativum (pea) long non-coding RNA (PSAT_LNC040372)". Lineage: Eukaryota; Viridiplantae; Streptophyta; Magnoliopsida; Fabales; Fabaceae. The record is from RNAcentral.